GUCCAGGGAAGGGAAUCGAACCCACAAUGUUCCGCUUACCGGGCAGAUGUCAUGUCCACUAGGCUACCCUGGA
RNAcentral lists this transfer RNA (73 nucleotides) under Cordylochernes scorpioides. RNAcentral's name for it is "tRNA-Thr". The record is from RNAcentral. Lineage: Eukaryota; Metazoa; Arthropoda; Arachnida; Pseudoscorpiones; Chernetidae.